This 112-nucleotide ribosomal RNA is filed under the name Corynebacterium ureicelerivorans. Its description in RNAcentral is "partial 16S ribosomal RNA". It matches the Rfam family "Bacterial small subunit ribosomal RNA", at positions 1416 to 1533 of the family's 1533-position model. Lineage: Bacteria; Bacillati; Actinomycetota; Actinomycetes; Mycobacteriales; Corynebacteriaceae. The record is from RNAcentral.
AACACCCGAAGCCAGUGGCCUGUCAUGGGAGCUGUCGAAGGUGGGAUCGGCGAUUGGGACGAAGUCGUAACAAGGUAGCCGUACCGGAAGGUGCGGCUGGAUCACCUCCUUU